ACCAGUAGUCACGAUUCUUGGACUAGCGACUCGGAAGAGAGAGCCGUGAAUUCGCGAAAGUCAUGUGCGAGUUGGCGCCGAGACUCGGAGGAGACCCCCUUCGAGACGAAGAAUCGCGGGAAGGAUCUUGACGUCUCCGUGUUCGAAUUGUUGUACCAAGCUCGACGAGAAGAGGACGGAAACUUUACGAAGGAAAAACACAAGAGACAAUUGCGCGAAGUAGGUUGAGAAGAUCACGUGUAACGCGAAGGCAAGUCUUGAUCUCACCAGCUAAGACCUCGGUUCAUCUUCUUCAUUUCACGUUGAAAGGGAAGGUCCUUCGUCGAAGGACCAAAUAGGAAAAAAAGAACAACUGAAAAAAGCUGAAAAAAGCCGCGGACGUGUUUUCUUCCGUUCGUUUGCGAGGUGCACGAAAUUCGAUUACGGGGAAGCGCAUCGGAGCGGAAAGGUUCCUGUCGAUCGCACGUCGAAAUAUAAAUUGGAGUACGUUGGUCUCUUGGAGAGUAGUCAUCGUGCGGCGAGUGUAUCGUUAAUUAACACGAGAUCGGGGAAAUAGGGGAGGCGCAGGAGCCUCGAUGCACAGGAAUGUCGCGGAAGGAGGAGCCGUAGGGAGAGGCAGAGUCAGUCACGGAAUACACACAUUAUUCAAGCGAAGAGACGCAAACGCGAACCAUCAUGGGAACCGAUGCAAAACAGGGAUCGACGACAAUGAGGCAUGAAAACUUAACUGGACCAUAAAGAGCGUGUGCGCGCCAUUUUACGAGUCUCUCUAUUCUGCGAAUCGUCGCGGGCUGGCUUUCACGAAGCGACGAACGAACGUUUCGCGAGCCGCCGACAACAAACGGACGCCAUUUCUCCUCCGUUAGCGCCAAACCUCAGGAAUGCAAAGCACGAUGCAUACG
Long non-coding RNA from Camponotus floridanus (Florida carpenter ant), 902 nucleotides. RefSeq lists it as uncharacterized. NCBI's taxonomy places the organism in Eukaryota, Metazoa, Arthropoda, Insecta, Hymenoptera, Formicidae. The transcript has 3 exons. The record is from RefSeq and is a predicted model, not a curated record.